Molecule: long non-coding RNA, 1514 nt
Organism: Oreochromis aureus
Lineage: Eukaryota; Metazoa; Chordata; Actinopteri; Cichliformes; Cichlidae
Source: Ensembl
UUUUAAGGCUCAAAACAGUUCAGGUGAGGCUGGAGGUGAAAUUAAUGAAAGGUAUAGGACAGAAAUCCUCAGGGGUCCCCUGAGGAUCAAGUGAAAAGGUUGCUACACCCAAAGGACCCUUUCUGAUUGAAACUAGUUUUAAUUUUUUAUCACAGUAAAUAGCUAAAUAGCUUCAAGUUCAGUCAGUAACAACAAGAACACAGAGACCAAAACAACAUCGGCUCCAUGGUAACACCUGGGUAGUGCUGUCAAGAUCACCUGAUGAUUUUUGAACAGGAUUCUCCAAACACAGUGUUUGCAGCGUUUUAACUGGAGAUUUCAUUUCCAAACACCAACCUGAACCUACAAGCAUCUCUCGCUAUUUGCUGUGACUCGACGAACGCUUUGGAAAAAUAUCGACAGCUAAACAAGUGUAACAGCGACUCUUCAGUGUUUCCUGAGCCCAAAUGGACCCAACAUUUGUCUCAGAAAAUCUGGCAUCUUGGGCAGUGCAGACUAGCGCUGCUGAUAUGAAACAGCAGCAGGAAGCUAACAGGAUUGCUGAAAGUGAAACGGUGCAAGAAUUAAAAGAUGCACUCCAUUUUGCCACUCAGGAGUUGAAGACUGCAAAGGAGGAAAAUGCAUCGUUAAAGAAGAAGAUUGCCGUCCUUGAAGAUGCUCACAAAAUGGAAGUGAGUAGCCUCCAAGAAGAGCUCAAACUCAAGGAUGAGGCGCUUCAAAGGUGUGUGAAGAAAAGAAGAGCUCGAACCAAAGCCUGGGUAGAACUCCUCCAUGAAUCGACGAUAAAAGACAUGGAGAUAAACACCAGGGAACAACACUGGAGCAGCAAGUGGCAAUCAACCGAGAAGAGUCUGAAAGAGGAGAAAAAAAAGUGGAGGAGCUCCAAAUUAAGAACAAGCUUCUGUUUGAGAAAUUACAGGAAAAUCUGGACACAUGGAAGAACGUCCUUCAGGAGCUUGCACCCAAUGCUGACCACCAGGAAGAAACCCUGGAAACAAAUUCCCAUGAGGAAAAACUGGAAAGCCACGAGGGAGAAGAGGAGGGAAUGGACAAACCAAGAAAGGACGAGAAAAAGCAGGAAGAAAAGGAGGAAAAGCAGGAGACAGAAGAGGACAUCGAAGGAAACCUCGAGAGAAAAAGUGACGAGAAGAUGGAAGAUAAAACAGCAACUGAAGAUCUAAACCCAAACCUCUGCCUGGUUCCCAUCCCUCUCACUCCCUCCGACUCUUGCCCUUUACCCCCUGUCCCUACACCCCAACUCAACCCCCCUGCCUCCUCCCUACCUUACCCACUCUCUCGUGCCCUUUCCUACUCUUCACCCAGCUCUUAUUCUUUACGCCACACCCUUAGUCUCCACACCUUCCCCCAAUCCUCCUCCCAACCUUACUCGGUCUCUCGUGCUCCCUCCUACUAUUUACCCUUGUUUUCCAAACCUGUGCAGCCCCUAAACUCUAAUGAAAUUUUUGAUCUGCUUUUUUGUUCAUUUUAAAAUAAACAUGUGAAAUUUCAUUAAA